This 1859-nucleotide ribosomal RNA is filed under the name Acinetobacter baumannii. Its description in RNAcentral is "bacterial LSU rRNA". It matches the Rfam family "Bacterial large subunit ribosomal RNA", at positions 1109 to 2925 of the family's 2925-position model. Lineage: Bacteria; Pseudomonadati; Pseudomonadota; Gammaproteobacteria; Moraxellales; Moraxellaceae. The record is from RNAcentral.
GAAGCAGCCACCCUUUAAAGAAAGCGUAAUAGCUCACUAGUCGAGUCGGCCUGCGCGGAAGAUGUAACGGGGCUAAAACUAUGUGCCGAAGCUGCGGAUUUGACAUUAGUCAAGUGGUAGGGGAGCGUUCUGUAAGCCGAUGAAGGUGUAUUGAGAAGUAUGCUGGAGGUAUCAGAAGUGCGAAUGCUGACGUGAGUAACGACAAAACGGGUGAAAAACCCGUUCGCCGAAAGACCAAGGGUUCCAGUCCAACGUUAANNNNNNUCGGGGCUGGGUGAGUCGACCCCUAAGGCGAGGCCGAAAGGCGUAGUCGAUGGGAAAAUGGUUAAUAUUCCAUUACUUCUGUGUAAUGCGAUGAGAGGACGGAGAAGGCUAAAUCAGCCUGGCGUUGGUUGUCCAGGUGAAAGGAUGUAGGCAUGUAUCUUAGGCAAAUCCGGGGUACUCUAUGCUGAGAUCUGAUAGCAAGCUGUACUUGUACAGCGAAGUGGUUGAUGCCAUGCUUCCAGGAAAAGUCUCUAAGCUUCAGUUACACAGGAAUCGUACCCGAAACCGACACAGGUGGUCAGGUCGAGUAGACCAAGGCGCUUGAGAGAACUCUGCUGAAGGAACUAGGCAAAAUGGUACCGUAACUUCGGGAGAAGGUACGCUGUUGUUGGUGAUGGAACUCGCUUCCUGAGCUGACGACAGCCGCAGAAACCAGGCCGCUGCAACUGUUUAUUAAAAACAUAGCACUCUGCAAACACGAAAGUGGACGUAUAGGGUGUGAUGCCUGCCCGGUGCUGGAAGGUUAAUUGAUGGGGUUAGCGUAAGCGAAGCUCUUGAUCGAAGCCCCAGUAAACGGCGGCCGUAACUAUAACGGUCCUAAGGUAGCGAAAUUCCUUGUCGGGUAAGUUCCGACCUGCACGAAUGGCAUAAUGAUGGCGGCGCUGUCUCCAGCAGAGGCUCAGUGAAAUCGAAAUCGCUGUGAAGAUGCAGUGUACCCGCGGCUAGACGGAAAGACCCCGUGAACCUUUACUGCAGCUUGACACUGAACUUUGACCUUACUUGUGUAGGAUAGGUGGGAGGCUUUGAAGCUGGAACGCUAGUUCCAGUGGAGCCGUCCUUGAAAUACCACCCUGGUAAUGUUGAGGUUCUAACUCUGUCCCGUGAUCCGGGACGAGGACCGUGUCUGGUGGGUAGUUUGACUGGGGCGGUCUCCUCCUAAAGAGUAACGGAGGAGUACGAAGGUGCGCUCAGCGUGGUCGGAAAUCACGCGUAGAGUAUAAAGGCAAAAGCGCGCUUAACUGCGAGACCCACAAGUCGAGCAGGUACGAAAGUAGGUCUUAGUGAUCCGGUGGUUCUGUAUGGAAGGGCCAUCGCUCAACGGAUAAAAGGUACUCUGGGGAUAACAGGCUGAUACCGCCCAAGAGUUCAUAUCGACGGCGGUGUUUGGCACCUCGAUGUCGGCUCAUCUCAUCCUGGGGCUGAAGCAGGUCCCAAGGGUAUGGCUGUUCGCCAUUUAAAGAGGUACGCGAGCUGGGUUUAGAACGUCGUGAGACAGUUCGGUCCCUAUCUACCGUGGGCGCUGGAAAUUUGAGAGGAUCUGCUCCUAGUACGAGAGGACCAGAGUGGACGAACCUCUGGUGUACCGGUUGUGACGCCAGUCGCAUCGCCGGGUAGCUAUGUUCGGAAGGGAUAACCGCUGAAAGCAUCUAAGCGGGAAGCCUACCUCAAGAUAAGAUUUCCCUAGGACUUUAUGUCCUCUAAAGAGCCGUUCGAGACUAGGACGUUGAUAGGUUGGAUGUGGAAGCAUAGUGAUAUGUGAAGCUGACCAAUACUAAUUGCUCGUGAGGCUUGACUAUACAACACCCAAGCAGUUG